Molecule: ribosomal RNA, 433 nt
Filed under: Bacillus sp. C13
Lineage: Bacteria; Bacillati; Bacillota; Bacilli; Caryophanales; Bacillaceae
Also listed under: 2 other names
Description: bacterial SSU rRNA
Rfam family: Bacterial small subunit ribosomal RNA
Source: RNAcentral
AACGCGAAGAACCUUACCAGGUCUUGACAUCCUCUGACAACCCUAGAGAUAGGGCUUCUCCUUCGGGAGCAGAGUGACAGGUGGUGCAUGGUUGUCGUCAGCUCGUGUCGUGAGAUGUUGGGUUAAGUCCCGCAACGAGCGCAACCCUUGAUCUUAGUUGCCAUCAUUUAGUUGGGCACUCUAAGGUGACUGCCGGUGACAAACCGGAGGAAGGUGGGGAUGACGUCAAAUCAUCAUGCCCCUUAUGACCUGGGCUACACACGUGCUACAAUGGACGGUACAAAGAGCUGCAAGACCGCGAGGUGGAGCUAAUCUCAUAAAACCGUUCUCAGUUCGGAUUGUAGGCUGCAACUCGCCUACAUGAAGCUGGAAUCGCUAGUAAUCGCGGAUCAGCAUGCCGCGGUGAAUACGUUCCCGGGCCUUGUACACACCG